CCCUUAGAUGUUCUGGGCUGCACACGUGCUACACUGGCAGGUUCAGCGAGCUUCAUGCCCUGAUCUGAAAGGAAUGGGAAAUCUUUUCAAAACCUGCCGUGCUUGGGAUGGAUGUUUGCAAUUAUUCAUCUUCAACGAGGAUUGCCUUGUAAGCGCACGUCAUCAGCGUGCAUUGAAUACGACCCUGUAUUCUGUACACACCGCCCGUCGCUCCUACCGAUUGAAGUUUUCGGUGAGUUGACAGGAGGAUUUUUUUGAAACUGGUUCGCCAGUGGAUUUUAGAUCCAAAUGCCAACGAAUCGAUGGCUUUAGAGGAAGGAGAAGUCGUAACA
RNAcentral lists this ribosomal RNA (332 nucleotides) under uncultured eukaryote. RNAcentral describes it as "partial 18S ribosomal RNA". It matches the Rfam family "Eukaryotic small subunit ribosomal RNA", at positions 1470 to 1796 of the family's 1831-position model. The record is from RNAcentral.